RNAcentral lists this ribosomal RNA (253 nucleotides) under uncultured bacterium. Its description in RNAcentral is "partial 16S ribosomal RNA". It matches the Rfam family "Bacterial small subunit ribosomal RNA", at positions 524 to 776 of the family's 1533-position model. The record is from RNAcentral.
UACGUAGGGGGCAAGCGUUGUCCGGAUUUAUUGGGCGUAAAGAGCGUGUAGGCGGCCAGGUAGGUCUGCUGUGAAAACUCGAGGCUUAACCCCGAGCUGUCGGCGGAAACCAUCUGGCUAGAGUCCGGAAGAGGAGAAUGGAAUUCCCGGUGUAGCGGUGAAAUGCGCAGAUAUCGGGAAGAACACCCGUGGCGAAGGCGGUUCUCUGGGACGGUACUGACGCUGAGACGCGAAAGCGUGGGGAGCGAACAGG